Molecule: ribosomal RNA, 234 nt
Filed under: uncultured Actinomycetales bacterium
Lineage: Bacteria; Bacillati; Actinomycetota; Actinomycetes; Actinomycetales
Description: partial 16S ribosomal RNA
Rfam family: Bacterial small subunit ribosomal RNA
Source: RNAcentral
GGCGAACGGGUGAGUAACACGUGGGUAAUCUGCCCUGCACUCUGGGAUAAGCCUGGGAAACUGGGUCUAAUACUGGAUAUGACCUUUCUCCUUAUGGGGUUUGGCGGAAAGUUUUCGGUGUAGGAUGAGCCCGCGGCCUAUCAGCUUGUUGGUGGGGUGAUGGCCUACCAAGGCGACGACGGGUAGCCGGCCUGAGAGGGUGAUCGGCCACAUUGGGACUGAGAUACGGCCCAG